AUCCAGAAAUCAGCCCGGAGGGUCUGCCUGCCUGACUUUGACCCCCGGGAGCUGCUGGAGUGCAUCCGGGCCCUGGUGCGGCUCGAGGGGCGCUGGGUGCCGCGGGACCCCCGGAGCAGCCUCUACAUCCGGCCCACCUUCAUCGGCACCGAGCCCACCCUGGGGGUCUCUCCCCCCGGCCGAGCCCUGCUCUUUGUGCUGCUCUGCCCGGUGGGGCCGUACUUCCCGGGGGGCUUCGGGCCCAUCCGGCUCCUGGCCGACCCGCGGCACGUCCGGGCCUGGCCGGGGGGCGCCGGACACUGCAAGCUGGGCGGGUGAGUGACCACUGACCACUGACCAC
Long non-coding RNA from Passer montanus (Eurasian tree sparrow), 340 nucleotides. RefSeq lists it as uncharacterized. NCBI's taxonomy places the organism in Eukaryota, Metazoa, Chordata, Aves, Passeriformes, Passeridae. The record is from RefSeq and is a predicted model, not a curated record. The transcript has 3 exons.